GGUGAGAUGGCCGAGUGGUCUAAGGCGCUAGAUUUAGGUCUUCACCUUCCUCUAGUCAUUCGUGGCGUGGGUUCAAAUCCCACUCUCAUCA
RNAcentral lists this transfer RNA (91 nucleotides) under Gymnopus androsaceus JB14. It matches the Rfam family "tRNA". From Rfam's summary of the family: Transfer RNA (tRNA) molecules are approximately 80 nucleotides in length. Their secondary structure includes four short double-helical elements and three loops (D, anti-codon, and T loops). Further hydrogen bonds mediate the characteristic L-shaped molecular structure. tRNAs have two regions of fundamental functional importance: the anti-codon, which is responsible for specific mRNA codon recognition, and the 3' end, to which the tRNAs corresponding amino acid is attached (by aminoacyl-tRNA synthetases). tRNAs cope with the degeneracy of the genetic code in two manners: having more than one tRNA (with a specific anti-codon) for a particular amino acid; and 'wobble' base-pairing, i.e. permitting non-standard base-pairing at the 3rd anti-codon position. The record is from Rfam by way of RNAcentral. Lineage: Eukaryota; Fungi; Basidiomycota; Agaricomycetes; Agaricales; Omphalotaceae.